This is a long non-coding RNA of Triticum urartu, 560 nucleotides long. RefSeq lists it as uncharacterized. The record is from RefSeq and is a predicted model, not a curated record. Lineage: Eukaryota; Viridiplantae; Streptophyta; Magnoliopsida; Poales; Poaceae.
CGGGACGCUGCAGGGAUGCCAUCACCUCGAGAAGGGGCGAGGAGUCCACUCCAUCGUAUGCCCAGUUGAUGUCCCCGGGUACUCACUAUGGCACGAAGAGCCCCUCAACGUUAUCCUCUUCGACCGGCAUCACCACGACGGGUCAGAUGUGCCACGCACAGGACACAGGGAGACAAGGGCAGGAGCGGCAGCAGGCGGCGGUGGAGCACGCAGCAAGGAGGCAAAUAACUGAAGCUGAAGGCUCUUUUCUGAAUGAUGAUAAAUCUAGGAGAGGGUGACGAAUUACUUUGUGCAAAUCUCCCACUGAUUUGUGUCCUUGAGGAAGUCCUUUCUUGCAUGGGUUUUAUAAUACGAAUUAGACAUUUCUUGCUUGCGAACAACUGAUUGCAUCUCUUCUUGUUGCAUGAACAACCAUAUAUAUAUACUCCUAGAGCGGCAGAGCUAAUGCAUCAUCAGUGGUCAGGAUAGUCAAGCAUCAUGGCACAUUUGCAGUACAUCUUGAAGGAUAACAACAGUAGCUUACGAGAGUGGAACAACGUAAUGCAAACACACACUUUAUA